RNAcentral lists this small nuclear RNA (104 nucleotides) under Meriones unguiculatus (Mongolian gerbil). Lineage: Eukaryota; Metazoa; Chordata; Mammalia; Rodentia; Muridae. The record is from RNAcentral.
AUGCUCCCUUUGGCAGUAGGCAUACUAAAACUGGAAUGAUACAGAAAUUAACAUGGCCUCUGCACAAGGGUGACAUGAGAACUUGUGAAACAUUACUACUUUCA